UCUUUGCUAGUAUAUCGGUUAGUACACGCGCCUGUCAUACCGCGGCGAAAACAUAUCAAAUACCGCGCAAAAGCUGGGUUCGACUCCCAGGCAGAGAG
Molecule: non-coding RNA, 98 nt
Organism: Tephrocybe rancida
Lineage: Eukaryota; Fungi; Basidiomycota; Agaricomycetes; Agaricales; Lyophyllaceae
Source: the annotation of a GenBank genome assembly